UGGGGAAUCUUGCGCAAUGGGCGAAAGCCUGACGCAGCCAUGCCGCGUGGAUGAUGAAGGUCUUAGGAUUGUAAAAUCCUUUCACCGGUGAAGAUAAUGACUGUAGCCGGAGAAGAAGCCCCGGCUAACUUCGUGCCAGCAGCCGCGGUAAUACGAAGGGGGCUAGCGUUGCUCGGAAUUACUGGGCGUAAAGGGAGCGUAGGCGGACAUUUAAGUCAGGGGUGAAAUCCCAGAGCUCAACUCUGGAACUGCCUUUGAUACUGGGUGUCUUGAGUGUGAUAGAGGUAUGUGGAACUCCGAGUGUAGAGGUGAAAUUCGUAGAUAUUCGGAAGAACACCAGUGGCGAAGGCGACAUACUGGAUCAUUACUGACGCUGAGGCUCGAAAGCGUGGGGAGCAAACAGGAUUAGAUACCCCAGUAGUCCCUGAGCGGGCUGGCAAGGCGCAU
This 447-nucleotide ribosomal RNA is filed under the name uncultured bacterium. Its description in RNAcentral is "bacterial SSU rRNA". It matches the Rfam family "Bacterial small subunit ribosomal RNA", at positions 355 to 825 of the family's 1533-position model. The record is from RNAcentral.